This 468-nucleotide ribosomal RNA is filed under the name uncultured bacterium. RNAcentral describes it as "partial 16S ribosomal RNA". It matches the Rfam family "Bacterial small subunit ribosomal RNA", at positions 28 to 507 of the family's 1533-position model. The record is from RNAcentral.
GACGAACGCUGGCGGCGUGCUUAACACAUGCAAGUCGAACGGAAAGGCCCUGCUUUUGUGGGGUGCUCGAGUGGCGAGCGGGUGAGUAACACGUGAGUAACCUGUCCUUGUCUUUGUGAUAACUUCAGGAAACUGGGGCUAAUACAGGAUAGGAGCUCCUGCAGCGUGGUGGGGGUUGGUAAGAUUCGGCGGUGGGGGCUGGACUCGCGGGUUAUCAGCUUGUUGGGGAGGUUGUGGCUUACCAAGGCUUUGACGGGUACCCGGCCUGAGAGGGGGACCGGCCACCAGGGUACUAGGAUACGGCCCAGGAGCCAACGGGAGGCAGCAGUCGAAAAUAUUGCACAAUGGGCCGACGCCUGAUGCAGCAGCGCCGCGUGCGGGAUGACGGCCUUCGGGUUGUAAACCGCUUUCGCCUGUGACGAAGCGUGAGUGACGGUAAUGAGUAAAGAAGCACCGGCUAACUACGUG